UACGGAGGGGGCUAGCGUUGUUCGGAAUUACUGGGCGUAAAGCGCACGUAGGCGGAUUGGAAAGUCAGGGGUGAAAUCCCGGGGCUCAACCCCGGAACUGCCUUUGAAACUCCCAGUCUAGAGGUCGAGAGAGGUGAGUGGAAUUCCGAGUGUAGAGGUGAAAUUCGUAGAUAUUCGGAGGAACACCAGUGGCGAAGGCGGCUCACUGGCUCGAUUCUGACGCUGAGGUGCGAAAGCGUCGGGAGCAAACAGG
RNAcentral lists this ribosomal RNA (253 nucleotides) under uncultured bacterium. RNAcentral's name for it is "partial 16S ribosomal RNA". It matches the Rfam family "Bacterial small subunit ribosomal RNA", at positions 524 to 776 of the family's 1533-position model. The record is from RNAcentral.